UUGGAACUCUAUAGAAAGUUUGGCUGUA
RNAcentral lists this non-coding RNA (28 nucleotides) under Rattus norvegicus (Norway rat). The record is from RNAcentral. Lineage: Eukaryota; Metazoa; Chordata; Mammalia; Rodentia; Muridae.